ACCUCAAAUCCAAGGUGUCACCUAAAUGCCCAGCAACAUACAUGCCCAAAGAGUAACAAGCAAGAAAGGCAACAUCAAUCUCACCCAGUUUCGAUGUCCCAUCUGAUCCAUUAAAUGGAUACCAGCCCUCAUUUCCCUGACCAUCCUUGUUCAUACCCAAAAAAUCCUCUUUGAUAAAUAUGUUCCCAAUUGGCCAAGGGUACUAACCAGAGGACUUAUUGGGUUCAGGAUCCAAUACACUCUUGACUAUGCUACUAGGUUUUCUAGAUGCAUGGUAACAAGUAUAAGCUAUGAAAGUAAUCAACAAAAUCACAUAUCUAAAAGCGUUCAGGCUCCAAUCUCUACCUCUUAUACUUCUUAUAACUAAAAUACCAGGUGGUGUUUUCCUCAAAUCAAAAUUUCCAGCCAUCGCUAGAUAAUUCAGUUAAUCUAGCACGAAAGAAAGCCAAUUCUCCGAAGAAGGAUCAAUAUAAAAAUCAUAAAAAUGCAGAAAGCGUUCAAGAGAUUGAUUGGAGAGAAAGUUCAAUUAGGUGAGAGACGAGAAAGAGUGAGAGAAUGGCG
This 561-nucleotide unclassified non-coding RNA is filed under the name Hevea brasiliensis (rubber tree). The record is from RNAcentral. Lineage: Eukaryota; Viridiplantae; Streptophyta; Magnoliopsida; Malpighiales; Euphorbiaceae.